This 992-nucleotide long non-coding RNA is filed under the name Monodelphis domestica (gray short-tailed opossum). RNAcentral describes it as "lncRNA (ENSMODG00000040639.1)". Lineage: Eukaryota; Metazoa; Chordata; Mammalia; Didelphimorphia; Didelphidae. The record is from RNAcentral.
UUUUUAAACAUAUAGAUACAUAUAUAUUGAUACACACACACAAUAUAAUUGGAAGGUAAUCUCAGAGGGAAGCCAUUAGCAGGAAGUCGGAAGCAGGGGCCUCCAGAGAGACCUACAGAACUGGGGAUUUGAGGGGCAGAGUCCUUCUCUUUAGCCUUAUCUAGUCAUGAAUUCCAGAGCCAUAGGAGCUUAGUAAGGGAAGGCAGUGAGACGGAGAACGGGAGGGAGAUGGGAAACAUCCCUCCCCUUUUGAACUUUAGAGUCUCACCCCAGCACCCAGGACCACACUCAGUGUCAUUGUCAGCGGUCCUGGCUCACACUGGGAAGUUCUGCGCUCUAGUCAACUGGGAAAUAGAUUUUGAUGUUUAAAAAAAAAAAGGAAAGGUUUCAUGAUAAAAAAGGCAUUCAUUCUCCCCAGCCGGCGGGAGGCUCUGGCCGUCCUGCUCCUGUCACCCCUGAGGAUUCUUCCAGCGCCAUCUCCAUCAGCUCGAGCAUCAGCUCAGCCAAGUUGGGACUCUUGGCACGGCCCCCGUGUAGAGCCCAGCCAAAGAAUUCCAUGCUGUGCACAUCUGCAGCGCGGAACGCGGGCCUUUCGGAGGGAGAUUUAUUGCUUUUGCUUCUUCCCCUCCUCCUCGUCGAAGGUUUCUGGAUGCUGUUCCUUGUGUACAGCAUGCGCCUCGGGCUUAUCGGGGACGGUUAGAAUUAACUUUGGCAACAUUAAUCACCAGAGUUCUGAUGGUACCAGUUAGUAACCCAGAUGGUCCUAACUACGUAAAGGGAUCCAUUAAAUGCCCCACUAUGCUGGCUUGCUGCUGAUGCAAAGAGGAAAAGGACCAUCUGCCCUCAAGAAGCAGAUUCUGUCUAUUGUAGAAGAAAGAGGCAUCUAUACGACAGUAUUUGUGUUGGUGUCCUGGAUGCAGAUGUAGACACAUCUAGGUGCACACAUACACAUUAGCAAUAAAAUAUCUUUAAUGCUAGAAACUGUAAUUUGU